This 513-nucleotide ribosomal RNA is filed under the name uncultured bacterium. Its description in RNAcentral is "bacterial SSU rRNA". It matches the Rfam family "Bacterial small subunit ribosomal RNA", at positions 32 to 524 of the family's 1533-position model. The record is from RNAcentral.
AAUCAACGCUGGCGGCGUGCCUAACACAUGCAAGUUGAGCGCUUGAGGGGGGCAACCCCCAAGAGAGCAGCGAACGGGUGAGUAACGCGUGGGUGAUCUUCCUUCGAGUGGGGAACAACAUCGGGAACUGGUGCUAAUUCCGCAUAAUAUCCUCGGGCCACGAGCCUGGGGAUCAAAGCCGGGACCGCAAGGCCUGGCGCUUGAAGAUGAGCCCGCGUCCGAUUAGCUAGUUGGCGGGGUAAUGGCCCACCAAGGCUCCGAUCGGUAGCCGGCCUGAGAGGGCGGACGGCCACACUGGAACUGAGACACGGUCCAGACUCCUACGGGAGGCAGCAGUGGGGAAUUUUUCGCAAUGGGCGCAAGCCUGACGAAGCAACGCCGCGUGGAGGAUGAAGGUCUUCGGAUUGUAAACUCCUGUCGACCGGGACGAAUGCACUCGACCUAAUACGUCGGAAUGUUGACGGUACCGGUGGAGGAAGCCACGGCUAACUCUGUGCCAGCAGCCGCGGUAAU